This 307-nucleotide long non-coding RNA is filed under the name Fragaria vesca (wild strawberry). RNAcentral describes it as "long non-coding RNA (FVES_LNC001878)". The record is from RNAcentral. Lineage: Eukaryota; Viridiplantae; Streptophyta; Magnoliopsida; Rosales; Rosaceae.
AACCAGCAAGACAAACGUGCUUUAGUGGUAUAGGUAUACAAUAUGUAACCCAAAAGAAAAAAUAGAGUGAUGAAAUUGGAGAGGAAAGUGGAAAUGGCUAUUCCUUUGACUCCAAGAGAAAGAGUGAAGGUCAAGAAAAAGGUGAGAGGGAGGUGAAGAAUGGUAGCUAGUAAAGUGCACCACAUCAGUGGCCAAGUUAUGCUUUGACUGCGCAAGAAAAUACGCAGAGGGUGAAGAAGACUAUUGGCUAUGAGAUCAGGGAUAGCAAACCGGCAAUACAAGCCAGCGAUUCGGGUUAUAUCCGGGU